RNAcentral lists this ribosomal RNA (253 nucleotides) under uncultured bacterium. RNAcentral describes it as "partial 16S ribosomal RNA". It matches the Rfam family "Bacterial small subunit ribosomal RNA", at positions 524 to 776 of the family's 1533-position model. The record is from RNAcentral.
UACGGAGGGUGCAAGCGUUGUUCGGAUUUACUGGGCGUAAAGCGCGCGCAGGCGGAUUGGCAAGUCAGAUGUGAAAUCUCGGGGCUUAACCCCGAAACUGCGUCUGAAACUGCUAGUCUAGAGUCUCAUAGGGGGCAGGGGAAUUUCACGUGUAGGGGUAAAAUCCGUAGAGAUGUGAAGGAACACCGGUGGCGAAGGCGCCUGCCUGGAUGAGUACUGACGCUGAGGCGCGAAAGCGUGGGGAGCAAACAGG